Molecule: transfer RNA, 71 nt
Filed under: Camelus bactrianus (Bactrian camel)
Lineage: Eukaryota; Metazoa; Chordata; Mammalia; Artiodactyla; Camelidae
Also listed under: 2 other names
Rfam family: tRNA
About the family: Transfer RNA (tRNA) molecules are approximately 80 nucleotides in length. Their secondary structure includes four short double-helical elements and three loops (D, anti-codon, and T loops).
Source: Rfam by way of RNAcentral
GAGGAUAUAGUUCAGUGGUCAAGUGUGUGCUUAGCAUGCACGAGGUCCUGGGUUCAAUCCCCAGUACCCCG